This 716-nucleotide ribosomal RNA is filed under the name Cytobacillus oceanisediminis. RNAcentral describes it as "bacterial SSU rRNA". It matches the Rfam family "Bacterial small subunit ribosomal RNA", at positions 56 to 756 of the family's 1533-position model. The record is from RNAcentral. Lineage: Bacteria; Bacillati; Bacillota; Bacilli; Caryophanales; Bacillaceae.
UGCAGUCGAGCGGACGUCUGGGAGCUUGCUCCCUGAAGUCAGCGGCGGACGGGUGAGUAACACGUGGGCAACCUGCCUGUAAGACUGGGAUAACUUCGGGAAACCGGAGCUAAUACCGGAUAAUUCUUUCCCUCACAUGAGGGAAAGCUGAAAGAUGGUUUCGGCUAUCACUUACAGAUGGGCCCGCGGCGCAUUAGCUAGUUGGUGAGGUAACGGCUCACCAAGGCAACGAUGCGUAGCCGACCUGAGAGGGUGAUCGGCCACACUGGGACUGAGACACGGCCCAGACUCCUACGGGAGGCAGCAGUAGGGAAUCUUCCGCAAUGGACGAAAGUCUGACGGAGCAACGCCGCGUGAGUGAUGAAGGUUUUCGGAUCGUAAAACUCUGUUGUUAGGGAAGAACAAGUACCGGAGUAACUGCCGGUACCUUGACGGUACCUAACCAGAAAGCCACGGCUAACUACGUGCCAGCAGCCGCGGUAAUACGUAGGUGGCAAGCGUUGUCCGGAAUUAUUGGGCGUAAAGCGCGCGCAGGCGGUUCCUUAAGUCUGAUGUGAAAGCCCACGGCUCAACCGUGGAGGGUCAUUGGAAACUGGGGAACUUGAGUGCAGAAGAGAAGAGUGGAAUUCCACGUGUAGCGGUGAAAUGCGUAGAGAUGUGGAGGAACACCAGUGGCGAAGGCGACUCUUUGGUCUGUAACUGACGCUGAGGCGCGA